UACGAAGGGGGCGAGCGUUGUUCGGAUUUACUGGGCGUAAAGGGCGCGCAGGCGGCCGCAUUUGUCAGGCGUGAAAGCCCCGGGCUUAACCUGGGAACUGCGUUUGAUACGGUGUGGCUAGAGUUCGGGAGAGGAGAGUGGAAUUCCCAGUGUAGAGGUGAAAUUCGUAGAUAUCUGGAGGAACACCGGUGGCGAAGGCGGCAUUCUGGACUACAACUGACACUGAGGAACGAAAGCCAGGGGAGCAAACGGG
This 253-nucleotide ribosomal RNA is filed under the name uncultured bacterium. Its description in RNAcentral is "partial 16S ribosomal RNA". It matches the Rfam family "Bacterial small subunit ribosomal RNA", at positions 524 to 776 of the family's 1533-position model. The record is from RNAcentral.